CGGGGCUCACGGCCCGGCCGCGGCGCUUGGGAGCCCUUGGGCAGCUGCGAGGGCCCCCAGCUGUGGCCGGUGCAGCUCAUCCAGCCCCCGACCACUCGUCUUAAUGGAAUGGGAUGGGCGUUUGGCCUGGCAAAAAAUUACUGUGGCGGGUUCCGGGCUCCUGAGUACAAGAGCAGCUACUGGAGAGGGGCCAGUGGAGACCCACAAAGAUGAUGGAUGAGGGUCUGGAGUCUCUCUCUGGUGAGGAGAGACUGCAGGACCUUGGCCUGUUUCGUCUGCAGCAGAGGAGAGCUCACCAAUAGAUACAAAUUUCUCAAAGAGACACCAAGACAGAUCACACCCCACAAAAAAUGCUGACAGGCACAAGGCAUAUUAUCACUCAGUCCUUACCUGGUCCCUACUGCAUAUGUUAAUACAAGUUUUUUCUCAUUUUCCUAAAACAGGUAACAGGAAGUUCAAGUCUCAGGAAAAUAAAGUAACCUCACAAAUUACA
Long non-coding RNA from Agelaius phoeniceus (red-winged blackbird), 493 nucleotides. RefSeq lists it as uncharacterized. The record is from RefSeq and is a predicted model, not a curated record. Lineage: Eukaryota; Metazoa; Chordata; Aves; Passeriformes; Icteridae.